This 506-nucleotide ribosomal RNA is filed under the name uncultured Glomeromycotina. RNAcentral's name for it is "partial small subunit ribosomal RNA". It matches the Rfam family "Eukaryotic small subunit ribosomal RNA", at positions 591 to 1092 of the family's 1831-position model. The record is from RNAcentral. Lineage: Eukaryota; Fungi; Glomeromycota.
CCAAUAGCGUAUAUUAAAGUUGUUGCAGUUAAAAAGCUCGUAGUUGAAUUUCGGGAUUGACACAUCGGUCGUGCCUUAAGGGGUAUGAACUGGUGUAGUCAAUUUCUCACCUUCUGGAGAACCGCGAUGCCCUUAAUUGGGUGUCACGGGGAACCAGGACCUUUACUUUGAAAAAAUUAGAGUGUUUAAAGCAGGCAUUUUGCUUGAAUACAUUAGCAUGGAAUAAUAAAAUAGGACGGCAUGAUUCUAUUUUGUUGGUUUCUAGGAUCACCGUAAUGAUUAAUAGGGAUGGUUGGGGGAAUUAGUAUUCGAUUGUCAGAGAUGAAAUUCUUGGAUUUAUUGAAGACUAACUACUGCGAAAGCAUUUGCCAAGGAUGUUUUCACUAAUCAAGAACGAAAGUUAGGGGAUCGAAGACGAUCAGAUACCGUCGUAGUCUUAACCAUAAACUAUGCCGACUAGGAAUCAGACGAUGUUAAUUUUUUAAUGACUCGUUUGGCACCUUACG